RNAcentral lists this ribosomal RNA (440 nucleotides) under uncultured bacterium. RNAcentral's name for it is "partial 16S ribosomal RNA". It matches the Rfam family "Bacterial small subunit ribosomal RNA", at positions 338 to 795 of the family's 1533-position model. The record is from RNAcentral.
CCUACGGGUGGCUGCAGUGGGGAAUAUUGGACAAUGGGGGCAACCCUGAUCCAGCCAUGCCGCGUGAGUGAAGAAGGCCUUAGGGUUGUAAAGCUCUUUCGCACGCGACGAUGAUGACGGUAGCGUGAGAAGAAGCCCCGGCUAACUUCGUGCCAGCAGCCGCGGUAAUACGAAGGGGGCAAGCGUUGUUCGGAUUUACUGGGCGUAAAGGGCGCGUAGGCGGAUGCGUAAGUCAGAGGUGAAAGCCCUGGGCUCAACCCGGGAAUUGCCUUUGAGACUGCGUGUCUUGAGUAUGGGAGAGGGUGGCGGAAUACCCAGUGUAGAGGUGAAAUUCGUAGAUAUUGGGUAGAACACCAGUGGCGAAGGCGGCCACCUGGCCCAUAACUGACGCUGAGGCGCGAAAGCGUGGGGAGCAAACAGGAUUAGAUACCCUAGUAGUC